RNAcentral lists this ribosomal RNA (253 nucleotides) under uncultured bacterium. RNAcentral describes it as "partial 16S ribosomal RNA". It matches the Rfam family "Bacterial small subunit ribosomal RNA", at positions 524 to 776 of the family's 1533-position model. The record is from RNAcentral.
UACGGGGGGGGCAAGCGUUGUUCGGAAUUACUGGGCGUAAAGGGCUCGUAGGUGGCCAACUAAGUCAGACGUGAAAUCCCUCGGCUUAACCGGGGAACUGCGUCUGAUACUGGACGGCUUGAGUUCGGGAGAGGGAUGCGGAAUUCCAGGUGUAGCGGUGAAAUGCGUAGAUAUCUGGAGGAACACCGGUGGCGAAGGCGGCAUCCUGGACCGACACUGACACUGAGGAGCGAAAGCCAGGGGAGCAAACGGG